This 417-nucleotide non-coding RNA is filed under the name Prodigiosinella confusarubida. The record is from RNAcentral. Lineage: Bacteria; Pseudomonadati; Pseudomonadota; Gammaproteobacteria; Enterobacterales; Pectobacteriaceae.
AAAUUCUCCAACGUGGUAUCUAAUGGCUUAAUCAAUAACGUAUUGUCAUUCAAUACCACAUCACCACUAGCCUGAACAUCUCCAACAUCUAACGGAAUAUCCAGAUGUAGAGAACCAUUAACCAUACCGCCAAUCUGUAGCGCAUCCAGUGCCGAACCCAAUGAGGACUUCAUCGGCGUCUGGUUGAAGUAAUGCCUCACUUCUUCCCCUGGCCCAUGAAGAUCGCCAUUAACCAGUAAUUGCUCUUUAGCGUAAUCGGGAAUAAUAGCGCUGAUAUUCGUCCCUUCUACCUUGCCCAACCAGGCAUGCGGCGCGGACAUCCAUAGGCCAUUAUUGAGAAAGUUCAGCGUAAUAUCCUGUUCGGUAAGCGCAGGCCAGCCCGGUUGAAAUUCGAAGAUGGCGUUUUUUACCGGAACC